Molecule: transfer RNA, 71 nt
Filed under: Loxodonta africana (African savanna elephant)
Lineage: Eukaryota; Metazoa; Chordata; Mammalia; Proboscidea; Elephantidae
Rfam family: tRNA
About the family: Transfer RNA (tRNA) molecules are approximately 80 nucleotides in length. Their secondary structure includes four short double-helical elements and three loops (D, anti-codon, and T loops). Further hydrogen bonds mediate the characteristic L-shaped molecular structure. tRNAs have two regions of fundamental functional importance: the anti-codon, which is responsible for specific mRNA codon recognition, and the 3' end, to which the tRNAs corresponding amino acid is attached (by aminoacyl-tRNA synthetases). tRNAs cope with the degeneracy of the genetic code in two manners: having more than one tRNA (with a specific anti-codon) for a particular amino acid; and 'wobble' base-pairing, i.e. permitting non-standard base-pairing at the 3rd anti-codon position.
Source: Rfam by way of RNAcentral
GGAGUGGUGGUUCAGUGGUAGAAUUCUUGCUUUCAGUGUGGGAGACCCAGGUUCAAUUCCUGGCCAAUGCG